RNAcentral lists this ribosomal RNA (253 nucleotides) under uncultured bacterium. RNAcentral's name for it is "partial 16S ribosomal RNA". It matches the Rfam family "Bacterial small subunit ribosomal RNA", at positions 524 to 776 of the family's 1533-position model. The record is from RNAcentral.
UACGUAGGGUGCGAGCGUUAAUCGGAAUUACUGGGCGUAAAGGGUGCGCAGGCGGUUCUGCAAGUCAGGCGUGAAAUCCCCGGGCUUAACCUGGGAAUUUCAUUUCAAACUGGCCGACUAGAGUACGGUAGAGGGAGGUAGAAUUUCCUGUGUAGCGGUGAAAUGCGUAGAUAUAGGAAGGAAUACCAGUGGCGAAGGCGGCCUCCUGGAUCGAUACUGACGCUGAGGCGCGAAAGCGUGGGGAGCAAACAGG